Molecule: long non-coding RNA, 1785 nt
Organism: Pongo pygmaeus (Bornean orangutan)
Lineage: Eukaryota; Metazoa; Chordata; Mammalia; Primates; Hominidae
Exons: 3
Source: RefSeq, a predicted model, not a curated record
UCUUAGGUGCAGGGAGAAACCAUGAUAAAAGAGCAGACAAUGUUGCUGCCCUCAAGGAGCUGACAUUCUAGUGGAGGAAGACAGAUGCAAAGAGGAAUGUAUGCCCACAUCACACAACUAAAUUGUGGCAUGAUGGAGUUCAACAAAAUAUGGAUACAGAGAGCAAGGUUUGAGGGUAAAUUUAACCAAGGUAGGGUAAUCAGAGGAGCCUGAUCUGAAAAGGUAGGAAUUAAAAUAAGCUCUAAAGGAUUAUUAGAAACCAAGGAGAAACGAGCUGACUGGUAGAAAUGGAGAGUGUUUCAGGGAGAGCAAAAAGCCCGUUCAAAAACCUCAUUCAAAGAGUUGGGCAAUUUGAAGAAUUGAAAUGAAACUCUAGGACUGGGCACGGAGAAUGUGAAGAAGUGAGGUGGGGGAUGGAGCUGGAGAGAUAGGUGGGACUGGAUCCCAUACAGCUUGGUGAAUGGGACCUGGACUGGAAAAGGAUUGUUUGUGUGGGAAUCACUCAUGGCAAAAGCAGUGACACCUCUUUCAAAAACCUGUGUCAUUCUGGCAGAGUGUGGCAGGAGAUGGCCACUGGAGAGGCUGAGUCAAAUCAAUCUCCUCACCUGAGGACUUCCUGAGACCAGCGCACCGAAGGACCAGCAACAACAACAACAAUAAUGCUAAUGCUCCCUUAUGGACAGGACUGCAAUUCUCUGCCUGCUGAAGCUCAGCUAUGACCACGUGACUUGCCUUGGCCAAUGAAAGAGGAAGAGCAUGUAACACUGCUGAACGGAAGCAAGCGGCCCCUGCCUCUGCUGCAGAGAUUCUAUACGUGUGUGCCAUGCUGGAGCAAGGAGGCAGGGAGUCCUGGAGAAAGGAGACAUGGAACAGAGCUCCCAGCCCAGUCAAUAUGUAACAUGAGUGAGAAAUAAAUAACACUUUGUUGCUAGAAGCUUUUUUUUCAACUGAAGUAUAACUCAGCUUCCCCUGACCCAUGCAGAAAGUCAUCUAUCAAUGUUAAGUAUCACUAAAUUUAUUUUACAGAAGAAGAAUCUAAAGCUCAGAGUAAUGGUCUCAAUAUCACUCAGCAAUUAUGUGAUGGAAGCAUACUGAAGGCCCACAUUUUAAAGUGGACGCCAAGGAGAAUAUAGCAUAAAUAGAAAUUUUCUAACUGCAGGGAAUUCUUGCUAUACAACUGCAAAGAAUAGGCCCCACUACUUCCUAGCUGUGCCUCAACUUCCUGAUCAGUUAAAUGGGACUAAUAAAAGAGCAGCUAGUGGCUGGGCGCGGUGGCUCACGCCUAUAAUCCCAGCACUUUGGGAGGCCGAGGCGGGCGGAUCACGAGGUCAGGAGAUCGAGACCACAGUGAAACCCCGUCUCUACUAAAAAUACAGAAAAUAAGCUGUGCGCAGUGGCGGGCGCCUGUAGUCCCAGCUACUCUGGAGGCUGGGGCAGGAGAAUGUCGUGAACCCGGAAGGCGGAGUUUGUAGUCAGCCGAGAUCACGCCACUGCACUCCAGUCUGGGCGACAGAGGGAGACUCUGUCUCAAAAAAAACAAAAAAACAAAACAAAAAAUGAGCAGCUAGUGCAAGAGAUGGAGAAGGGAUUAAAUGAGAAUACAUGUAAAUUGCUCAUAAGAUUAUUCAGAAUAAACCAAAUAUUCAAAAAUGUUAGUUACUAUUAUUAUUAAGUAACAAUUGCUAUUAUAAUCCUAAUAUCUCCUGUUUCUCAUAAGUCGGUGGAUACAAGCAAUUACAUUUACAUAAAUAUGUAAAGUAAUAAAGCCAAACCAGAGACUCCUAA